Molecule: ribosomal RNA, 332 nt
Filed under: uncultured bacterium
Lineage: Bacteria
Description: bacterial SSU rRNA
Rfam family: Bacterial small subunit ribosomal RNA
Source: RNAcentral
CGCGUAGGCGGGCUUUUAAGUUGGGGGUGAAAUCCCGGAGCUUAACUCCGGAACUGCCUCCAAAACUGGAAGCCUUGAGGUAUGGAGAGGGAAGUGGAAUUCCUGGUGUAGCGGUGAAAUGCGUAGAUAUCAGGAGGAACACCCGUGGCGAAGGCGGCUUCCUGGCCAUAUCCUGACGCUGAGGUGCGAAAGCUAGGGGAGCGAACGGGAUUAGAUACCCCGGUAGUCCUAGCCGUAAACGAUGGAUACUAGGUGUUAGAGGUAUCGACCCCUCUAGUGCCGAAGCUAACGCAUUAAGUAUCCCGCCUGGGGAGUACGGCCGCAAGGCUGAA